AAUGGCGAAUGAACAGGGAAAUGCUCACUAUUGUAAGCAGAGCCUCACGGCUUUGAGUUGUAAUGUCAAGAUGGGCUGCCAAUGAGAGUGUAUGUGUGAGCCUCUUGGAAAAGAGAACCAGCGAGGGUGAGAGUCCCCUUGGGCACAUAUAGUCUCUCGUGUACGGCGCGCACUCGCAGAAUCACGCUCCUCGGAAAUGGAGUGCAAACUUGGUGGUAAAUUUCAUCUCAAGCUACAUAUGGGUUCGAAACCGAUAGAUUACAAGUACCAUGAGGGAAAGAUGAAAAGGACUUUGAAAAGAGAGUUAAAAGUGUCUGAAAUUGCUGAGAGGAAAGCGGACGGAACCAGUACAGCUCGGCGAGACUGCUGCAUACUGCCAUGAGUGCUCUUUUCGUGAACGAAAGUUACGCGGGGGGCUACAAAUGAACUGUGUGCAGUGCUUCUUGCCUCGCGUGUCAUCGCCAGUUCGACGACGAGGACAACACUUGGGAGAUGGUAGCUUCUCUCAGGAUAAGCGAACAUCCCUUGUAGAACUCGUCGACAGGCUGGAUUUCCCAAGUUGAUCAGGUUGAACUGUGUUUGUCGACUUAGCCUUCACGUAGCCGCAGACAUGCCCUCCUGACACAUAGCUGGUGAGAAUGAUUUCUUUCUACCCGUCUUGAAACACGGACCGAAGGUGUCUCACAUAUGUGCAGCGCAUUGGUUUCACGCCUUCGUGCAUAAUGAAAGUGAGUGCUGGGAGUCAUGCACUAGCAGCCGACCAAUCAACUGGGAGAGGUUUGAGCAUGAGCAUAUCUGUUAGGACCCGAAAGAUGGUGAACUAUGCCUGAGCAGGGUGAAGUCUGGGGAAACUCAGAUGGAGGCUCGUAGCGAUACUGACGUGCAAAUCGUUCGUCAUACUUGGGUAUAGGGGCGAAAGACUAAUCGAACCAUCUAGUAGCUGGUUCCCUCCGAAGUUUCCCUCAGGAUAGCUGGAGUUACGUAGUUUUAUCAGGUAAAGCGAAUGAUUAGAGGAAUCGGGAGCGCGUUGUUCUCGACCUAUUCUCAAACUUUAAAUGGGUAAGCUCCAGUUGUUACUUCAUUGAACAUCUGGGACAAAUUACAACUCUAAGUGGGCCAUUUUUGGUAAGCAGAACUGGCGAUGAGGGAUGAACCUAACGUUGGGUUAAGGUGCUUAACUGCUCGCUCAUCAGAUACCAUAAAGGGUGUUGGUUCAUUUUGACAGCAGGACGGUGGUCAUGGAAGUCGAAAUCCGCUAAGGAGUGUGUAACAACUCACCUGCCGAAUGGACUAGCCCCGAAAAUGGAUGGCGCUCAAGCGGGUGACCGAUACCCAGCCAUUGUUGCAAUU
Molecule: ribosomal RNA, 1350 nt
Filed under: Paragymnodinium stigmaticum
Lineage: Eukaryota; Dinophyceae; Gymnodiniales; Gymnodiniaceae
Description: Paragymnodinium sp. KY-2018a partial large subunit ribosomal RNA
Rfam family: Eukaryotic large subunit ribosomal RNA
Source: RNAcentral